This 457-nucleotide ribosomal RNA is filed under the name uncultured bacterium. Its description in RNAcentral is "bacterial SSU rRNA". It matches the Rfam family "Bacterial small subunit ribosomal RNA", at positions 923 to 1379 of the family's 1533-position model. The record is from RNAcentral.
GCACAAGCGGUGGAGCAUGUGGUUUAAUUCGACGCAACGCGCAGAACCUUACCAGCCCUUGACAUGUCCGGGACCGGUCGCAGAGACGUGACCUUCUCUUCGGAGCCCGGAACACAGGUGCUGCAUGGCUGUCGUCAGCUCGUGUCGUGAGAUGUUGGGUUAAGUCCCGCAACGAGCGCAACCCCCGUCCUUAGUUGCUACCAUUUAGUUGAGCACUCUAAGGAGACUGCCGGUGAUAAGCCGCGAGGAAGGUGGGGAUGACGUCAAGUCCUCAUGGCCCUUACGGGCUGGGCUACACACGUGCUACAAUGGCGGUGACAAUGGGAUGCUAAGGSGYRASCCYUSGCAAAUCUCAAAAAGCCGUCUCAGUUCGGAUUGGGCUCUGCAACUCGAGCCCAUGAAGUUGGAAUCGCUAGUAAUCGUGGAUCAGCACGCCACGGUGAAUACGUUCCCGGGC